RNAcentral lists this ribosomal RNA (467 nucleotides) under uncultured bacterium. Its description in RNAcentral is "partial 16S ribosomal RNA". It matches the Rfam family "Bacterial small subunit ribosomal RNA", at positions 28 to 507 of the family's 1533-position model. The record is from RNAcentral.
GAUGAACGCUGGCGGCGUGCUUAACACAUGCAAGUCGAACGGAAAGGCCAGUGCUUGCACUGGUGCUCGAGUGGCGAACGGGUAAGUAACACGUGGGUGAUCUGCCCUGCACUUUGGGAUAAGCCUGGGAAACUGGGUCUAAUACCAGAUAGGACCAUGCUUUGGAUGGUGUGGUGGAAAGUUUUUUCGGUGUGGGAUGAGCUUGCGGCCUAUCAGCUUGUUGGUGGGGUAAUGGCCUACCAAGGCGUCGACGGGUAGCCGGCCUGAGAGGGUGUACGGCCACAUUGGGACUGAGAUACGGCCCAGACUCCUACGGGAGGCAGCAGUGGGGAAUAUUGCACAAUGGGCGCAAGCCUGAUGCAGCGACGCCGCGUGGGGGAUGACGGCCUUCGGGUUGUAAACUCCUUUCGCAACUGACGAAGCUUUUUGUGACGGUAGGUUGAGAAGAAGCACCGGCUAACUACGUG